AGUGAACGCUGGCGGUAGGCCUAACACAUGCAAGUCGAACGGCAGCACAGUAAGAGCUUGCUCUUACGGGUGGCGAGUGGCGGACGGGUGAGGAAUACAUCGGAAUCUACCUUUUCGUGGGGGAUAACGUAGGGAAACUUACGCUAAUACCGCAUACGACCUACGGGUGAAAGCAGGGGAUCUUCGGACCUUGCGCGAUUGAAUGAGCCGAUGUCGGAUUAGCUAGUUGGCGGGGUAAAGGCCCACCAAGGCGACGAUCCGUAGCUGGUCUGAGAGGAUGAUCAGCCACACUGGAACUGAGACACGGUCCAGACUCCUACGGGAGGCAGCAGUGGGGAAUAUUGGACAAUGGGCGCAAGCCUGAUCCAGCCAUACCGCGUGGGUGAAGAAGGCCUUCGGGUUGUAAAGCCCUUUUGUUGGGAAAGAAAAGCAGCAGGUUAAUACCCCGCUGUUCUGACGGUACCCAGAGAAUAAGCACCGGCUAACUUCGUG
This 492-nucleotide ribosomal RNA is filed under the name uncultured bacterium. RNAcentral's name for it is "partial 16S ribosomal RNA". It matches the Rfam family "Bacterial small subunit ribosomal RNA", at positions 29 to 507 of the family's 1533-position model. The record is from RNAcentral.